UACAGAGGUCCCGAGCGUUGUUCGGAUUCAUUGGGCGUAAAGGGUGCGUAGGCGGCGGGGCCAGUCUGAUGUGAAAUCCCGGGGCUCAACCCCGGAACUGCAUUGGAUACUGCCUUGCUAGAGUACUGGAGAGGGAACUGGAAUUUACGGUGUAGCAGUGAAAUGCGUAGAGAUUGUAAGGAAGGCCGGUGGCGAAGGCGAGUUCCUGGACAGUUACUGACGCUGAGGCACGAAGGCCAGGGGAGCAAACGGG
RNAcentral lists this ribosomal RNA (253 nucleotides) under uncultured bacterium. Its description in RNAcentral is "partial 16S ribosomal RNA". It matches the Rfam family "Bacterial small subunit ribosomal RNA", at positions 524 to 776 of the family's 1533-position model. The record is from RNAcentral.